AGCAGCCGCGGUAAUUCCAGCUCCAAUAGCGUAUAUUAAAGUUGUUGCAGUUAAGAAGCUCGUAGUUGAAUUUCGGGAUCAAGUCGUCGGUCGUGCUCAGGUACGUACUGGCGUCAUUGAUUUCUCCCUUCUGACGAACCAUGAUGUCAUUAAUUUGGUGUUAUGGGAAAUCAGGACUGUUACUUUGAAAAAAUUAGAGUGUUUAAAGCAGGCUCACGCUUGAAUACAUUAGCAUGGAAUAAUGAAAUAGGACGUUCGAUCCUAUUUUGUUGGUUUUAGGAUCAACGUAAUGAUUAAUAGGGAUAGUUGGGGGCAUUAGUAUUCAAUUGUCAGAGGUGAAAUUCUUGGAUUUAUUGAAGACUAACUACUGCGAAAGCAUUUGCCAAGGAUGUUUUCAUUAAUCAAGAACGAAAGUUAGGGGAUCGAAGACGAUCAGAUACCGUCGUAGUCUUAACCAUAAACUAUGCCGACUAGGGAUCGGAUGAUGUUAAUUUUUUAAUGACUCAUUCGGCGCCUUACG
This 520-nucleotide ribosomal RNA is filed under the name uncultured Glomus. RNAcentral describes it as "SSU rRNA". It matches the Rfam family "Eukaryotic small subunit ribosomal RNA", at positions 569 to 1092 of the family's 1831-position model. Lineage: Eukaryota; Fungi; Glomeromycota; Glomeromycetes; Glomerales; Glomeraceae. The record is from RNAcentral.